This 47-nucleotide non-coding RNA is filed under the name Schistosoma mattheei. The record is from RNAcentral. Lineage: Eukaryota; Metazoa; Platyhelminthes; Trematoda; Strigeidida; Schistosomatidae.
AUCCAGCUGACGAGUCUCGAAAAUAGGACGAAACGCGCGUCCUGGAU